UCUAAAUCCAGUCAGCAUUGUGGGAGCUGUGUGUGCAGACUCGCAAGUGUUUAUCUCUGUAGGCUGGGGUUACUUUCAUUUUCUUCUUUGUAACUUGGAAAUGUUUUGCCAACCCCUGAUGCAAGAUCAUGGAUGAAAAGCACUUUAAAACAGUACCUGCCACAGGACAGAAAGCAGCACUGUCAGAUUUGAAAGCAGAGACUCCUGGCCACAUCAGCUCCCACCCCACAUACCACGAGGUGGGCCGGUCCCUGCUCCCAGGUGCUGGGAGACGCCCACAGCAGGGCUCUCAGCCCUGACUCCACAGUGGAUCCCCCAGGUUCAAAGUCCUGAGGCCUAGGUCUCAGUCCCAGUGCUUCCAGUGUAACUUGCCUAGGGUGGGGCCUGGGUCCUGGGGCUUUACAAAUCUUCCUAAAGGUUCUGGUGUCCAGCCAGGGCUGAAAAGCACUGACCUAAAGGAUUAUCUUUAAUGUCCAGCAUUAAACGGGAAAAAGCAGUGGACACAUAGUAGGUGCUCACUCUAUGUCCAUUCAGUGAUCGACGUUUAUAGAAUGGCUUCCUUGAUUUUUUUCUCAAAGACCGUGUGUACAUGUGGGCCUGUAAUCAACCCCAGGGGACAGAGCUGGUGCGACCCCAGCCAAACUCACUCGGGGGGUCCUUCCGGAGGGCGGAUCGAGGUGGGGGCAGGAGGCACUUCCAUUUUCCAGUCCAUGUGCUUCUCAAGCACGUGUCUUUUUAAAAAUUAAUAAUAAAGAAAAUGAUUUGCCAGCUGUUAAAGAA
Long non-coding RNA from Camelus dromedarius (Arabian camel), 780 nucleotides. RefSeq lists it as uncharacterized. The record is from RefSeq and is a predicted model, not a curated record. The transcript has 3 exons. Lineage: Eukaryota; Metazoa; Chordata; Mammalia; Artiodactyla; Camelidae.